AUGGUGGAGUGGACCUGCAGGGGAGAGGAAGGAGGCCGGCGAGAGUGGGAAGGAUUGGUGGGUUCUCUACUGAUGGUGUUGGAGAUUGCAAGGAUUGUUCAAUCUGGUUUCAGGAGUGUGUGCUGCUCCUAUAAGUUAACUCAGGUACUGAUCGGUGUGGAUUUGCCGCCUCACGAUUUCCCUUACAACCACGACUUCAGUUGGCUUGGGUGUUCAGAUCCGCCACCGCACCGUCUCCCCCAUCCGCAUCGACAGCGACCGUCCUGGCAUCGGCCAGCUGCUGGUGCCAUGGCCAAGAAGCCGCUGCCCAGUAGCAGCGAUGGGUGUCGUCACGCCGUGCUGCGGACGUAUGCACUCACGACGCGUCUGGCUCAAGGCCUCACCAACCAACAUGCCACAUCUUUGCUUGUAGAUAAGCGCUCCAAUCGCCAUAUUUACAAGACGAACCACUGUGUCAGAAGCACAACAAGCCAUUCGAGUAUAUUCAUCGCCCUCGCAAAGCAAGUCAAUCCGAAAGUUCAAAGGCAAGAAAAUCCAUCUAAAGCCUGGAAAGUACAUUCUCUGUGA
This 567-nucleotide ribosomal RNA is filed under the name Triticum aestivum (bread wheat). RNAcentral describes it as "partial small subunit ribosomal RNA". Lineage: Eukaryota; Viridiplantae; Streptophyta; Magnoliopsida; Poales; Poaceae. The record is from RNAcentral.